CAAGAUGUCCAGGGGGAGGGAGGGGUAUGGAGCAAUGAUUUUAGUAACUUAGAUUGAGUCAAUGGGAGCCUUCCCUGGGGGAGGGAAGACCCCUGGAAGCAGCCCUUCUGGCACCUGAUCACCCCCCUCUCUCCCAUGAAGCCUACUGCUACCUAAGCCUACAGAUGAGUGUGGUCCAGAGAGAGACCUGCCUCAGCAUGUGCAAGGAGUCCUGCAACGACACCCAGUAUAAGAUGACCAUCUCCAUGGCUGACUGGCCAUCCGAGGCCUCUGAGGUGAGAUGUUGAAAGGCCUAGCCCCUGUUCUCCGAUCUUUGGGUUGAGAACUAGUCUGGGACUUGAAAGAGGGUCUUCUCCCCCUCUUCCCUCCAUCUUUCUUUUCCUAUUCGCUUCGAUUCCUCUCUCCUUCCCACCCUCCCUUCCCUCCACCCCACCAAUGCUCUCCCAGGUUCCAUGCUAGGCAUAGCCUUCCCUUUACCAAGUCCACAGCCCAGUCAGUGAGGGACAACAAAUACGUGGAAAGAAGAUCAUUUCAAAGUCGAGGCAGUAGGGACAGAAACAAUGGGAGCAAACAGUAAGGGAAAGCAUUUUAGAGAGCAGGUCAGGGAAGGCCUCUCUAAGGAGCCAUAGCCAGAAGCGAGCUGGCAGGGCAGGGAGGAUUCUGGGAAGAAGGAACAGCAAGUGCUCUGGCUAGAGAAGGGAAUGAGCCCGAGACAUUACCUGCCUGGGGACAAGACAGCUGGAGAGUGGAGCCCCUCCUUC
Molecule: long non-coding RNA, 761 nt
Filed under: Rattus norvegicus (Norway rat)
Lineage: Eukaryota; Metazoa; Chordata; Mammalia; Rodentia; Muridae
Description: long non-coding RNA NONRATT003117
Source: RNAcentral